GGAGGAAAGAACCAACAGGGAUGCCUUAGUAACGGCGAGUGAAGCGGCAAAAGCUCAAAUUUGAAAUCUGGCACCUUCGGUGUCCGAGUUGUAAUUUGAAGAAGGGUAACUUUGGAGUUGGCUCUUGUCUAUGUUCCUUGGAACAGGACGUCACAGAGGGUGAGAAUCCCGUGCGAUGAGAUGCCCAAUUCUAUGUAAAGUGCUUUCGAAGAGUCGAGUUGUUUGGGAAUGCAGCUCUAAGUGGGUGGUAAAUUCCAUCUAAAGCUAAAUAUUGGCGAGAGACCGAUAGCGAACAAGUACAGUGAUGGAAAGAUGAAAAGAACUUUGAAAAGAGAGUGAAAAAGUACGUGAAAUUGUUGAAAGGGAAGGGCUUGAGAUCAGACUUGGUAUUUUGCGAUCCUUUCCUUCUUGGUUGGGUUCCUCGCAGCUUACUGGGCCAGCAUCGGUUUGGAUGGUAGGAUAAUGACUAAGGAAUGUGGCUCUACUUCGGUGGAGUGUUAUAGCCUUGGUUGAUACUGCCUGUCUAGACCGAGGACUGCGUCUUUUGACUAGGAUGUUGGCAUAAUGAUCUUAAGCCACCC
This 581-nucleotide ribosomal RNA is filed under the name Debaryomyces hansenii. Its description in RNAcentral is "eukaryotic LSU rRNA". It matches the Rfam family "Eukaryotic large subunit ribosomal RNA", at positions 52 to 650 of the family's 3401-position model. Lineage: Eukaryota; Fungi; Ascomycota; Pichiomycetes; Serinales; Debaryomycetaceae. The record is from RNAcentral.